AAUUCUCAACUCUACCAGUUUUCUGUGUAGAGCUUGGAUAUGGAGGCCGUGCAGAAUGCUCACGCGUACUGCUCCUCUCAAAUGGAUUAGCGAGUUCACUGGACUCCGUCUAUUGGUGUGAUAAUUAUCUACGCCGUGGAUUGGGUUUAGACUUGCUUCUAACCGUCCGCAAGGACAAUAUUUGACA
RNAcentral lists this unclassified non-coding RNA (187 nucleotides) under uncultured Coprinus. RNAcentral's name for it is "sequence contains ITS2". Lineage: Eukaryota; Fungi; Basidiomycota; Agaricomycetes; Agaricales; Agaricaceae. The record is from RNAcentral.